UCCUCGGUAGUAUAGUGUUGAGUAUCCCCCCCUGUCACGCGGGAGACCGGGGUUCGAUUCCCCGCCGGGUGG
This 72-nucleotide transfer RNA is filed under the name Paramuricea clavata. It matches the Rfam family "tRNA". Rfam says of the family: Transfer RNA (tRNA) molecules are approximately 80 nucleotides in length. Their secondary structure includes four short double-helical elements and three loops (D, anti-codon, and T loops). The record is from Rfam by way of RNAcentral. Lineage: Eukaryota; Metazoa; Cnidaria; Anthozoa; Malacalcyonacea; Plexauridae.